RNAcentral lists this ribosomal RNA (728 nucleotides) under uncultured marine eukaryote. Its description in RNAcentral is "bacterial SSU rRNA". It matches the Rfam family "Eukaryotic small subunit ribosomal RNA", at positions 452 to 1185 of the family's 1831-position model. The record is from RNAcentral.
UGACACAGAGAGGUAGUGACAAGAAAUAACAAAGCAAGCCUCUUCGAGGCGCUGCGUUGGAAUGAGUUGAAUUUAGAUCUCUUUACGACUAUCAAUUGGAGGGCAAGUCUGGUGCCAGCAGCCGCGGUAAUUCCAGCUCCAAUAGCGUAUAUUAAAGUUGUUGCGGUUAAAAAGCUCGUAGUUGGAUUUCUGUUGAGAACGUCCGGUCCGCACUAUGUGCGUGUAUCUGGUUCGGUCUUGGCAUCCUCUUGAGGAACGUAUCUGCGCUUGAUUGCGUGGAGCGGUAUUCAAGACUUUUACUUUGAGGAAAUUAGAGUGUUUCAAGCAGGCACACGCCUUGAAUACAUUAGCAUGGAAUAAUAAGAUAGGACCUUUGUUCUAUUUUGUUGGUUUCUAGGGCUGAGGUAAUGAUUAAUAGGGAUAGUUGGGGGCAUUCGUAUUUAACAGUCAGAGGUGAAAUUCUUGGAUUUGUUAAAGACGGACUACUGCGAAAGCAUUUGCCAAGGAUGUUUUCAUUGAUCAAGAACGAAAGUUAGGGGAUCGAAGACGAUUAGAUACCGUCGUAGUCUUAACCAUAAACCAUGCCGACUAGAGAUUGGAGGUCGUUAACUGUACGACCCCUUCAGCACCUUAUGAGAAAUCAAAGUCUUUGGGCUCUGGGGGGAGUAUGGUCGCAAGGCUGAAACUUAAAGGAAUUGGCGGAAGGGCACCACCAGGAGUGGAGCCUG